Oncorhynchus keta (chum salmon) is the source of this 3268-nucleotide long non-coding RNA. RefSeq lists it as uncharacterized. The record is from RefSeq and is a predicted model, not a curated record. The transcript has 5 exons. NCBI's taxonomy places the organism in Eukaryota, Metazoa, Chordata, Actinopteri, Salmoniformes, Salmonidae.
UGUGCAUGUGCGAAAUUCGUUUCGUUUGUUAUAAACACAACCAGACGUUGGACAGCUAAUGGGAAUUGAGAUGGCAAGAUAAUGACAAUUUUACUCCUCGAUAGUCCAUUUGUCAGAAGAAAUAUGCGUCUUAGCUAGACAUUUGGAAAUCCAGCGUAAAACUAGUCAACAGCCACGACAGGGCGCAGCCAUUUUUGAAUGUUCCAACUAAAUCGUGAAAAACGUGGAGAAUAAAACGUAUAUAUUUCUAUCUGUUAGUUUUUUGCUCUUCACUGAACUUAUGAGUUGUAUGGUAAAACAAUAAAUAUAAUUAGUCAAUGCAUAAUAAAUUGCUGUGCUUAUAACAAAUCCAGCGCAGCGAAAGCAGAAUGUUUUUUAAUUGCCAAACCAUUUCACACCAUUUGUUCUCGCAAUAGUACAGUCAGGGGCAACAUGGCGCUUGGCAGGGUCGGCGGCUGCAUCUGAAUACUGCUUCACGAUUGUCCCUCAAAAGGAUUACUUUGUGGCCGCAUACAAUCGGACUGUAUGGCAUGCCGAGUAGGAGGUAUAUUAAUAACUUAUUUUAUGGUUAUGGUGCAGUACCUUGUCGACAAACCACCACACGAGGAAUCUGUCUCAAUCAAUGUCACUGUUGCUGUGACAGCGGUUGAGAUGUCUUUUCUUGUCCGGUUUUAAUAUUUAGCCUGGAACUAUUUCAAAUUUCUAUACGAAUUUGUAAUGCAUGCACUCAAUUUCCACAAGUUGUUCAGCUCCAUGGGCAAGUACAGUACCACAGUACUCCUGUCAGAGACGGUCGAGAAUAUCUAGUCUAAUAUCAUCUCUGCUCCUGUUGCUCCAUUCAUUUCAGCAAAAAGGCAUCUAUUGUCAGAGGAUGUUGUCAAACUACAAGAAUUUCAGCUUCGGAAACAGGCAGUGGCUAAUCAGGUGUCCGGAUCAAAAAGUUGGCUACUCAAGUUUUAAUGUGACAUGGACAAGUACAGUGACAUGCCUCUCUUGCAAGCUCCAAAUACAACAAUGCAGUAAAUGCAGCACUAAACACAAGGUAGAACAUAGUGUUAUUUUUGGGUAUUGUGAACAAAAACACACAAGAAAUUAAAAUAAGAACACAAGAAAGUAAGAAUCGAUAUACAGGGUCAGUCACAAUACCAUAUUUACAUUGUGCAGGGGAUACUGGAGUGAUAGAGGUAGAUAUGUAUAGGCGUAAGGCGACUAGGCAAAAGGGUAUAUGAUAAACAGCUUGUCGGUUGUAAGAAAUGAUAGCAGAUACAUUUUGUUAAAAUAAAGUAAAGACAAACGCAAAAAAGAUUAAACUUGGGUUAGCUAACACAACGUGCCAUUGGAACACAGGAGUGAUUGUUCCUGAUAAUGGGCCUCUGAACACCUAUGUAGAUAUUAUAUUAAAAUAUCAGUCAUUUCCAGCUACAAUAGUCAUUUACAACAUUAACAAUGUCUAUAUUUCUGAUCAAUUUGAUGUUAUUUUAAUGGACAAAAAAAUGUGCUUUUCUUUCAAAAACAAGGACAUUUCUAAGUGACCCCAAACUUUUGAAUGGUAGUGUAUGUGUUUAAUCUAUCUAUCUAUCUAUCUAUCUAUCUAUCUAUCUAUCUAUCUAUCUAUCUAUCUAUCUAUCUAUCUAUCUAUCUAUCUAUCUAUCUAGAUAUUUGCAAAUAUAUCUAUCGAUCGAUAGAUAGUUUGAUAGAUAUAUUUGCAAAUAUCUAGAUAUAAAUAUUUGCAAAUGUAUUAAUGAAGCAUAGUGGUGGCAGCAUCAUGCGGUGCAGAUGUUUUUCAGCGCAGGUACUGGGAGACUAGUCAGGAUUGAGGGAAAGAUGAACGGAGCAAAGUACAGAGAGAUCAUGAAAACCUGUUCCAGAGCGCUUAGGACCUCAGACUGGGUCGAAGAUUCACCUUUCAACAGGACAAUGACCCUAAGAACACAAUGCAAGUGUGCCUUUGGGACAAGUCUCUGAAUGUCCUUGAGUGGCCCUACCAGAGCCUGGACCUGAACCCGAUCGAACAUCUCUGGAGAGACCUGAUAAUAUCUGUGCAGCGACGUUCCCCAUCCAACCUGACAGAUUUUGAGAGGAUAUGCAGAGAAGAAUGGGAGAAACUCCGCCAAAUACAGGUCAUUAUUUGGAGGUAUUCAAUCGGAAGCUAAAGAAGAACGAGUUAAUAUUGAAGGAUGGCCUGAAACUGCUUCUACACCUAUGCCAAUCUGCAGAGGACAUGGUCACAGCCAGAGGUGCCAUCUACAGGGUGAUGUUGAAAAAGCACAAUCUAUGUUCGGUCAGAUUAUGAGCACUGACAGCGGAAUAUGUCAACAUCUCAAAGUGCUGAAGCUGGCUAUGGCAGGAGCUGUGAAAUAAUCACUCUCUGUCUUGACCUUAGCAUUGGGAUCCAGCAGCCCUGCAUUUAUAAAGAAGCCUGAAUUCGCACAGGAAGUGGGGACGUAGUGCGUCUUCGGAGCGAGGACAGCCCUCUGAUGGCGAGCGUGGAGCAGGCAGUGCCCACCUCCAGCAGGCAGGUCAGGUGAUCCAACGAAACCUGGACAAGAUGUUGUGUCAUACCCCCAUGGGGAAGAAGAGGAUGCCCAUGGGGAUAAUGGACGAGAGAAGGAUCAGCCAGAGGACUCUGAGGCCUCUGCAGUCCACUCUGUUGUCAGAGUGAAUGGGACUAGGUGUAUCUCUCAGCGUGUUUGAGGGGAUCAAGGUGAGGCGCAGAAUUGUGAAUCUUGAUCAAGUACUGAGUUGGUUUUUGGGAGGGGAUUUGCAGAUCAGUGAUUCUGCGCAGUCCGAGUGCAAUGUAGUCGAUUUUAAACAAACAUUGUUUCAUUCUAAACUCUGCCUUAAUUGUACCAGUCCCUGUCACAGCCAUGGGGGUCUGCUCUCACACCACCCAAGCAAGGCUGAACAGAGAUGCGCUCUCUCCCUACACCCAGACCUGGACUUUAUAGAGACAUAUAGUGUACCAUUCAGUGCAAUGUACCUCUCCUCUCAGCCAGAGACCCUUCUGUAUUCCUCCUUUUUGAUAUUCUUCACCCGUUCACAUGCAAUGGUACAGGUAUACUAGUUGGUUCCACGUCUGGGGAGCCCCUUCAGAGCAUUUCAGACUUUUAACUGCUGACUGUGAAAAGGUUUGUUGAAUCCAAGGGACACCAAUGUGUGCAAAAGUAGAAUGUAAUGGUGUAUGUGAGACACAUCUGUAUAAACAUGUAAUUAUUUGUGAUUUAUAGGGUAAUACAUAUUGAAUGAAAUAAAAGCUGAUGUUGUAGAA